GGCUGGAGUGCUAUAGCAUGAACAUGGCUCACUGCAGCCUUGACCUCCUGAGCUCAAGUGACCCUACCACCUCACCUCCUGAGUAGCUGGGGCCACAGGAUUCCAUUUGGAAUUGUGACUCUGACUGCCUCUAGAACGUGUUGCAUCUGGAAAAUUCACCAAGACUCAAACCAAGACAGAGAAGAACAUGAAUAUGGAAUGAUGAGGAUGUGGCGUAAAUGGGAUGCUCGCCCUUGGAACCCAACAGCCAUAAGAUGAGGAAGCCCAAGCCACAUGGAGAUACCACAUGUUAGUGAUCUGGCCAAUAGCCGAGGUCCCAGCUGUUUGAAAUGUAGCUGAGAUCUGUUUGAAGGAAGUGUGGUA
This is a long non-coding RNA of Callithrix jacchus (white-tufted-ear marmoset), 363 nucleotides long. RefSeq lists it as uncharacterized. Lineage: Eukaryota; Metazoa; Chordata; Mammalia; Primates; Cebidae. The record is from RefSeq and is a predicted model, not a curated record.